RNAcentral lists this ribosomal RNA (428 nucleotides) under Bacillota bacterium. RNAcentral's name for it is "Firmicutes bacterium partial 16S ribosomal RNA". It matches the Rfam family "Bacterial small subunit ribosomal RNA", at positions 355 to 776 of the family's 1533-position model. The record is from RNAcentral. Lineage: Bacteria; Bacillati; Bacillota.
UAGGGAAUCUUCGGCAAUGGACGGAAGUCUGACCGAGCAACGCCGCGUGAGUGAAGAAGGUUUUCGGAUCGUAAAGCUCUGUUGUUAGAGAAGAACGUUGGUAGGAGUGGAAAAUCUACCAAGUGACGGUAACUAACCAGAAAGGGACGGCUAACUACGUGCCAGCAGCCGCGGUAAUACGUAGGUCCCGAGCGUUGUCCGGAUUUAUUGGGCGUAAGCGAGCGCUGGCGGUUAUUUAAGUCUGAAGUUAAAGGCAGUGGCUUAACCAUUGUACGCUUUGGAAACUGGAGGACUUGAGUGCAGAAGGGGAGAGUGGAAUUCCAUGUGUAGCGGUGAAAUGCGUAGAUAUAUGGAGGAACACCGGUGGCGAAAGCGGCUCUCUGGUCUGUAACUGACGCUGAGGCUCGGAGGCGUGGGGAACAAACAGG